AUUUCGAAUACAAAAUUUAAGCUCAUUAUUUUUUAAUAAAUAUUAUAAUUACGUAAAUUACAUAAAAUAUACUAACUACUCUCGUAAAGAUAUAUAUGAUGCAUUCAAAUUCGGAGUGGAAAAAAUUAUUAAUUAGUUCAAAUCAAAUAAAUUGAAGGAUUAGAUAGUAAAAUCGAAAUUUUUAAAGAUUAGGUACUUAAGUCCAAAAUUGUGAUAAGCGUGGUAAGUUUUAUACAUUUUUAUCAAAUAAAUAAAGGGUAAAGCGCUUUCUUAUUAUUGUAUCUUGUAAUUUAAAGUAUCUUAUAUUAUUACUAUGUAGUUUUAUUUUUCUAUUUUCGUCAGCACCUCCGUUAACUUUUCGUUAAAUCAUAUAUAAAAAACUUCAGAUACUCCACGUAUGAUUUAUCAAAUAUUCACCUUAGCACCUUGUGAUUUUAACUUUGCCACUGAUUUAAUAAAAAAAUUAACAAAGAGAAUAAAAAAAAAGAGAAAAAUAAAACUACACGAUAGGAAAGCGAUAUAUUUUUAACUAUAGGGUAGUAAAAUUGGAAACCGUGAAAUCGCAGGAUGGUAUUUGAAGUUUUUCUAAAAAUAAAAAAGUGCGGUGUAUU
This 611-nucleotide long non-coding RNA is filed under the name Ananas comosus (pineapple). Its description in RNAcentral is "long non-coding RNA (ACOM_LNC032962)". The record is from RNAcentral. Lineage: Eukaryota; Viridiplantae; Streptophyta; Magnoliopsida; Poales; Bromeliaceae.